UGUUGUAACAGUACUAAAGUGUAAACAUCUCUCCUCCAUUAACAACCAUGAAGCUGACCGGUCUAGUCCUCAUGAUCAUGGCGGUGCUCGCGCUGUUUGUAGGCGCUGGUCAAGCCGACCCUAAAUCACCAGACCCUUUUAGAAACCAUGUUAGAAUUUACCGGAAUAAACUUACUCCAAGACCUAUUUCUCCUGAAAAUAUCGACCGUUUAUACAGACUCUAUGGACAAGCAUAAGAAACAUUUCUUAUUAUUGUAUUCUCUUGCGCUGUAGCUUUACUUUACAUGUACAAUACAUUUGUAUGUCAUCUA
Long non-coding RNA from Galleria mellonella (greater wax moth), 311 nucleotides. RefSeq lists it as uncharacterized. The record is from RefSeq and is a predicted model, not a curated record. The transcript is spliced from 2 exons. Lineage: Eukaryota; Metazoa; Arthropoda; Insecta; Lepidoptera; Pyralidae.